CACUCUCAAAAUAUGCGCAAGUAGACUGUUGAUAGACUGUCAAGCCGUGUUUGUAAUUGAUACAAAGUAAUAUUGCCGAAUGUGGGGAGAGUUUUUUAAUACUUAUUUUACAUCUUCACAUCAGAUUGUAAUAUAUCUUUUAUUAGUCAUAGAAUCGGGUAGUUCAACCGCAGAAUGCCGAAAAUAAGGAUUUGCAUCAUUGGUAGUGGAAAUUGGGGCUCAGCAAUCGCAAAAAUUAUUGGUAUUAAUGUCAAAAAAUUUGAGGACAAGUUUGAGGAGGAAGUGAUGAUGUACGUAUAUGAGGAGAUGAUUGAAGGAAAGAAGUUGACAGAUAUUAUCAAUGAAACGCAUGAAAAUGUUAAAUACUUACCAGGUCAUAAACUUUCUCCAAAUAUCAUUGCAGUACCAGAUGUCGUUGAGGCAGCCAAAAAUGCUGAUAUUCUGAUAUUCGUUGUACCCCACCAAUUCGUUCCGGGACUUUGCACUGCAUUGCUGGGAAAAAUUAAAUCCAGCGCUGUUAGCCUAUCUUUAAUUAAGGGUUUCACUCAAGAAAAUGAUACAAAGCUCAAAUUGAUUUCCAAGUUUAUUGAAGAAAAAUUGAAAAUCCCAUGCUCGGUUCUAAUGGGAGCGAAUCUCUCAAACGAAGUUGCCAGUGAUUAUUUCUGUGAAACCACAAUCGGCUGCAAAGAUAAGAUUAUGGGUGCAAUUAUGAAGGAUUGUAUACAAACGGAAAAUUUCAGAGUUAGAGUCGUAGAAGAAAUAGAAGCAGUCGAAAUUUGCGGAGCACUUAAAAACAUCGUAGCGUGUGCCGCAGGUUUUGUGGAUGGCCUUGACCUGGGCGACAACACGAAAGCCGCAGUUAUAAGGCUCGGACUCAUGGAGAUAGUGAAUUAUGUGAAACUGUUUUAUGGCAAAUUUAAUAUGUCGAUCUUUUUCGAGAGUUGCGGUAUUGCUGACCUUAUCACCACCUGCUACGGUGGCAGGAACCGCAGAGUUUGCGAGCAAUUCGUCAAAACUGGCAAAACCAUCAAAGAAUUAGAAGACGAAUUGCUGAAUGGUCAAAAGCUCCAGGGACCAUUGACAGCUGAAGAAGUCUACGGAAUGCUCAAGGACAGUAACUCCACGGCUAAGUUUCCUUUAUUCGCGACAGUCCAUCGCAUUUGUAAUAAGGAACUGAAACCCAAUGAUCUGAUCGAGCAGAUCCGUAACCAUCCGGAGUAUGAUCUGUCACAGGCGCCACCUUUGUUUUCAUCAAAAUAUCGGCAAAAUUUUGCAAUAAUGGUAUAGCUUCGACUGUCGCCGCAGCCAUGAAAGGUUUCAAGUAUAUUAGGAUAUUUGGGAAAUCAAAAAACCUUUAAGGAGAAUGUGGAAUCGGAAGGUUUUUACUUUCCAGAUGUUACAAAGUUUAAUAAGACUGAUAACAUGACUGCUUCAUUUAAGAAAAUUUAGAGCUUUUGAAAAGAGUAAAAAAUGAGCGAAUGUCCAUUGUGUGGGCAACCAACUUACAAAGCUAGUACAAGACUGAUAAAAGAUGCAUGUGGACAUACCAAGUGCCGUUUAUGUUUGUUGCAAGAAGAAUAUGGAUGCAGUAUAUGCAAGGGUGAACAAAUAAGGGAGAUUCAAAAUAGAAAUGCUAUAGCGA
Ceratosolen solmsi marchali is the source of this 1642-nucleotide RNA transcript. It is a transcript of the gene named glycerol-3-phosphate dehydrogenase [NAD(+)], cytoplasmic-like, with no coding region annotated. The record is from RefSeq and is a predicted model, not a curated record. The transcript has 9 exons. Lineage: Eukaryota; Metazoa; Arthropoda; Insecta; Hymenoptera; Agaonidae.